GGGAAUGUGGCUCAGGGGUAGAGUGCUUGCCUGGCAUGCAUGAAGCCCUGGGUUCGAUUCCUCAGUACCA
RNAcentral lists this transfer RNA (70 nucleotides) under Dipodomys ordii (Ord's kangaroo rat). It matches the Rfam family "tRNA". Rfam says of the family: Transfer RNA (tRNA) molecules are approximately 80 nucleotides in length. Their secondary structure includes four short double-helical elements and three loops (D, anti-codon, and T loops). Lineage: Eukaryota; Metazoa; Chordata; Mammalia; Rodentia; Heteromyidae. The record is from Rfam by way of RNAcentral.